GUGUGAGAAAAAGGUGUCCAGAAGUGUCCAAAACGCUUGUAUAACGUGUGCAAUUGGUAGUUCUUUCAUAGUAUACCUUUGUGGUGUCUUCUCCUAGCCUUUGUGGCGAUAAAUCAUCAUCCCUUCUUGUCCUACGUGGGUAAGAUUGUAUAGCAACCAAGGUGAAUCAAUUGGUUGUGGUUUGGAGCCGUUUGGAUUGGUUGUUGGUAGAGAAAGGUACGUUGGACUGAGCCUGGAAAAUCACCGUUUGAAGAUCCUUUUGAGAGAGCUUCCGCAACAAUUGGUAUCAGAGCUUCAAGGUGAAGGUUUUGGCUCGAGAAAUCUACCAGAAAUCGUCCAAAAAAUCGGCAGAAACGAGGCAGAAAUCAGAUCGAAAAACUGUCCAGAAAACUGUUAAAAAUCAGCCACUGUUUUGGUGUUUUCUGACCAAUCCAGAAGGAGUUUGGUGAAAAGGAGGCCGGAUUCGUGAUCUGCAGGUGGAGGCGGUGCUGUGUGACCGGCGCGUGUGGGAGACGGACGCCGGCGGCGGCGGCGCGUGGCUUCUCCGGCGUGGCGCGUGUGGGCGUGUGCGGCAGUUUCUGGGGAAGCUUCCUUCAAACAGUUUGUUCCUUGUAUUAUUUCUAACAUUUUUCGUGUUGGAAGUUUUCUGUUUCAGGGUACG
RNAcentral lists this long non-coding RNA (661 nucleotides) under Olea europaea (common olive). RNAcentral's name for it is "long non-coding RNA (OEUR_LNC006523)". The record is from RNAcentral. Lineage: Eukaryota; Viridiplantae; Streptophyta; Magnoliopsida; Lamiales; Oleaceae.